This 1213-nucleotide ribosomal RNA is filed under the name Salmonella enterica subsp. enterica serovar Typhimurium. Its description in RNAcentral is "partial 23S ribosomal RNA". It matches the Rfam family "Bacterial large subunit ribosomal RNA", at positions 1210 to 2405 of the family's 2925-position model. Lineage: Bacteria; Pseudomonadati; Pseudomonadota; Gammaproteobacteria; Enterobacterales; Enterobacteriaceae. The record is from RNAcentral.
UAGGGAUACGUUCGUUGGGUAGGGGAGCGUUCUGUAAGCCUGUGAAGGUGUGUCGUGAGGCAUGCUGGAGGUAUCAGAAGUGCGAAUGCUGACAUAAGUAACGAUAAAGCGGGUGAAAAGCCCGCUCGCCGGAAGACCAAGGGUUCCUGUCCAACGUUAAUCGGGGCAGGGUGAGUCGACCCCUAAGGCGAGGCCGAAAGGCGUAGUCGAUGGGAAACGGGUUAAUAUUCCCGUACUUGGUGUUACUGCGAAGGGGGGACGGAGAAGGCUAUGUUGGCCGGGCGACGGUUGUCCCGGUUUAAGCGUGUAGGUGUGUGUUCCAGGUAAAUCCGGUUCACUUUAACACUGAGGCGUGACGACGAGGCACUACGGUGCUGAAGCAACAAAUGCCCUGCUUCCAGGAAAAGCCUCUAAGCAUCAGGUAACAUCAAAUCGUACCCCAAACCGACACAGGUGGUCAGGUAGAGAAUACCAAGGCGCUUGAGAGAACUCGGGUGAAGGAACUAGGCAAAAUGGUGCCGUAACUUCGGGAGAAGGCACGCUGACACGUAGGUGAAGUGAUUUACUCAUGGAGCUGAAGUCAGUCGAAGAUACCAGCUGGCUGCAACUGUUUAUUAAAAACACAGCACUGUGCAAACACGAAAGUGGACGUAUACGGUGUGACGCCUGCCCGGUGCCGGAAGGUUAAUUGAUGGGGUCAGCGCAAGCGAAGCUCCUGAUCGAAGCCCCGGUAAACGGCGGCCGUAACUAUAACGGUCCUAAGGUAGCGAAAUUCCUUGUCGGGUAAGUUCCGACCUGCACGAAUGGCGUAAUGAUGGCCAGGCUGUCUCCACCCGAGACUCAGUGAAAUUGAACUCGCUGUGAAGAUGCAGUGUACCCGCGGCAAGACGGAAAGACCCCGUGAACCUUUACUAUAGCUUGACACUGAACAUUGAGCCUUGAUGUGUAGGAUAGGUGGGAGGCUUUGAAGUGUGGACGCCAGUCUGCAUGGAGCCGACCUUGAAAUACCACCCUUUAAUGUUUGAUGUUCUAACGUGGACCCGUAAUCCGGGUUGCGGACAGUGUCUGGUGGGUAGUUUGACUGGGGCGGUCUCCUCCUAAAGAGUAACGGAGGAGCACGAAGGUUGGCUAAUCCUGGUCGGACAUCAGGAGGUUAGUGCAAUGGCAUAAGCCAGCUUGACUGCGAGCGUGACGGCGCGAGCAGGUGCGAAAG